Molecule: unclassified non-coding RNA, 270 nt
Filed under: uncultured fungus
Lineage: Eukaryota; Fungi
Description: partial contains 18S rRNA, ITS1, 5.8S rRNA, ITS2 and 28S rRNA
Source: RNAcentral
AAGGAUCAUUAUCGAAUAAACUUGAACAGGCUGUUUGCUGGUCUCUCCUGGGACAUGUGCACGCUUGUCAUCUUUAUCAUUUCUCCAAACCUGUGCACCUCUUGUAGACCUGGAGCUGGAUUUCAUUCGAGUUGGGAACUGCUGUGCUUUCACACAAGUCAGCUUUGCCUUGCAUUUCCAUGGUCUAUGUUCACACAAAACCUGUUUUAGAAUGGUUGGCAAAAUGAAAUUAAAGUUAUACAACUUUCAGCAACGGAUCUCUUGGCUCUC